Gossypium arboreum is the source of this 146-nucleotide long non-coding RNA. RefSeq lists it as uncharacterized. Lineage: Eukaryota; Viridiplantae; Streptophyta; Magnoliopsida; Malvales; Malvaceae. The transcript is spliced from 3 exons. The record is from RefSeq and is a predicted model, not a curated record.
GUAUAACCAUUAGACUUUUAAGAGAUGGAGAACGAAAUUAAGGCAUGAAAAGUUUAGAAAUGUCAGCCAUUAUUAUUGUUGUGAUCCUUUUUGUUCUUGGAAAUGAGAUAAUGGCCCAAGAUUCUGAAAGAGUAUGUGGAGUUCCA